GAUGAAGAACGUAGCGAAAUGCGAUACGUAAUGUGAAUUGCAGAAUUCCGUGAAUCAUCGAAUCUUUGAACGCACAUUGCGCCCCUUGGUAUCCCGAGGGGCAUGCCUGUUCGAGCGUCAUUUCACCACUCAAGCCUGGCUUGGUGUUGGGCGACGUCCUCUUUGGGGACGCGCCUCGAAACGCUCGGCGGCGUGGCACCGGCUUUAAGCGUAGCAGAAUCUUUCGCUUUGGAAGUCGGGGCCCCGUCUGCCGGAAGACCUGCUCGCAAGGUUGACCUCGGAUCAGGCAGGGAUACCCGCUGAACUUAAGCAUAUCAAUAAGCGGAGGA
This 329-nucleotide unclassified non-coding RNA is filed under the name soil metagenome. RNAcentral's name for it is "partial contains 5.8S ribosomal RNA, internal transcribed spacer 2, and large subunit ribosomal RNA". The stretch from base 1 to 120 matches the Rfam family "5.8S ribosomal RNA", at positions 35 to 154 of the family's 154-position model. The record is from RNAcentral.